UGCUUCCCAGGCCGUCGCGCUCCUGGCCGCGCACCCAGCCAGGGACCCAGAGGCCCUCAGCCCCGGGCUCUGCGCGUACACUGAGGGCGCGGCGCAGCAGGACAGCAAGAUAAGGAAGCAGAGACUGAAGGGAGGAAUCCCCGCUUUCCGGGGAUGAUGGCGUUCGAGUUGGGUCUGUGAGGGAUGAAAUAGGAGUUGGCCAGAGGGAGAGAGGGACUCUAGGCCUCGAGAAGAGCACGUGCAGAGGUUCCGUGACACGAAAACGCCAGAACUGGCGGACUCUUGGGUGCUUGGAGACACUAUAUAAAUAAGGAACUCUGGCUGUGUGCAUGGGAGAGUAUAUUAACAGGGCUUGGCCUGGCUGUGAGGUGCAGAGAUGCCGUUUCUCUCAGGCUGGGAACUUCAGGAAAGCCAGGACCAAGUCAAUCUUGAUCUAGGCUCUGUCUUCAGCAUCUAGAACCAGGCUUGGCACCAACUGAGUAGGACAAUUUGGCCAUCUACACACUGAUAUAUAUGCACAUCCUUGGACCCAGCAGUUGCACUCCAGUGUGCAACAGGAUGAAUGGUUACAGAUAUCAUGGUACAUUCAUAAGACAGAAUCCAAUGCAAUUCAAAGAAGGAGCUGGAUCUAUGUGUCCUGACAUUGCCCAGGCUCAGAACACUUGGCUCCAUUGCUUCACUGUUUCCCUGCUAGCACGAACCCCCCAAACUCCAUCUCCCAACAUGCCGCGGGCCCCCUUUCUGUCAGCCUGACUCUUGAGCUCCUGAGAAAUGUAGUUUUUCCAGCGGCCCAGCCCCAGAAAGGUCCUAGCCAAGAACUACAGUUCCCAUGUGGCAAUGCGCGCGCCAUUCCGGUGGAAUUCACCGCGGUCUCCAGUUUGCCAUGAUGGAUGCCAGAACCUGCACGUGGGGCUUGGUGACGCGAUGACUGAGAUGCUGGAGUCCCCGGUCAGAAGGACGAUGCCGAGCGCGCCGUAUUUUCUCCUGCCUCUCCUCAGAUCGCCGCCGUUGUUGGGCUGUGGAGACGUCUCAACCAAAGUGGAGCCGACAGAGGCCCCGGGAGCCGUGGUGACAGAGCGGCCACAACCACUAGGGGGCGGGAGGCAGAGCGGCCCCUAGUCCGCCCCUAGUCCGGGACCUCUGGGCGGUCCCGGGCGGGAAGCGCACGCGCAAACGCGGGGCUUCGCGGCCGCUGUAAACACCAAAGAGCGCCUGCGCAAGCCGAGAGUCUCGGGAUCGACACGUGGGGGCGCCUGAGCGAAGAUAACCGUAAUAAAUAGUAACCUAACGGUCCAGUCA
Molecule: long non-coding RNA, 1299 nt
Organism: Homo sapiens (human)
Lineage: Eukaryota; Metazoa; Chordata; Mammalia; Primates; Hominidae
Source: Ensembl